Molecule: long non-coding RNA, 8865 nt
Organism: Cavia porcellus (domestic guinea pig)
Lineage: Eukaryota; Metazoa; Chordata; Mammalia; Rodentia; Caviidae
Exons: 4
Source: RefSeq, a predicted model, not a curated record
GGGAAGGCGGGGAGGGGCGCGGAGGAGGGGCGCGGCGGCCGCCCCGCAGGUCUCCCGCGGCGCAGGGCCCCGCGCUCGCUCCGGACCCGCCGCCUAGGGGGCGCCUUCAACCCCGCCCGGCGCCGCCCGAGCCCGGCCCUUUAAGAAAGUGGGGGAGGGACGCGCCGAGAGGUUCCGCCCCUUCCCGGCCCCGCCUGCGAACCCCGGGAGACCCGCCCACCGUCCCAGGCGGGAGCACCCCAAACCCAGCGGCGAGCUAGGACCGCCCAGCCCCCCGCAAGGUGAAGGGGCGGGCCCCUGUCCUCCUCCCGCGGACCCUGGGUCUUCAGACUUCUGUCAUCCAGCACCCCAUAUGCACACUCCACAACACACUGCCACCCCGGGGACACUCAGAGGAACACCCCGACCUGUGGUAUGUGUGACCAGGGCAGACAGGGACCCGGCUUGGACGGAGCAGGAACCAAGAAAGACCCUGGGCCAGGUGGGAGGAGGCAGGCAAGCAGUGAGUCCGACCGAGGGUGCUCGUCCCAGCACAGGCCAGGCCAGGCCAUCCUAGGCGGAUAAAAAGGGCGAAGAGAAAGCUGGGGGGCUACGGAGGCCCCUCCCAAGGCACCUGCCUCGGCCCCUCCCCCAGGGCUGGUCUUGACCUUGAAGCCCUGGGCUGGGUCCGGGGCUCUGGUUCUAAGAGACUGGCCCACUCUGUACUUGGACUAGACAUUUGGAAGAACUUCCUGGUUGUGAGCGCCUUGCAAAAUAAGAUCCCACCUCCCAGAGAGGUAGACCCCGACCUCAGCCACAGGACCUAAGAACAAGGGAAAUCAGGGGCUACCAAACUCCAAGUGAUCAAGCAGGUGGGACCAACAAUAAAUGUGCCAGACUCCUUUUCCAGGAUCUCCAGAUCGGCCUUGAGAAGACUUCGUAACUGCGGAACUACAACACGACUUCUACCUGAGGCCCAUUACGUUAGCUCUCCAGAGGAGGCCCCUGACUGUUUUCCCCUACAAGUCUUGUUAGUUGAAAGCAACUUGAUGGGAUCUACACUCCCUCUCCCCUAACUGUGGUUAGGGGUACACUCCCUCUCCCCUAACUGUGGUUAGGGUACACUCCCUCUCCCCUAACUGUGGUUAGGGUACCUCUUCAGAGGGGGUGUAUAUGGACAGCUACGGUAAGCAGAAACCCAGUAGGGAAACAGGGCUGGGCUCUCCAGGGAGUCAGUGCCAGAGAUGAGAAUGCUGCAGGCCUGUGGCUGGAGGCACAUCGUAAGGUUAGAGUCACAAUGGCCAGGCUUACAUGCUUCCCCAAGGAAUGGGAGGCGUGGGGUUAUCGGUAUCUCCCUUUUGAGAUUUCCCAUCAUCUCAUUAGGUGUGGGUAAUUCUAUUCCACCUACUAAGACUCAGACUAAGACUGCUAAGACUAAAAACAAGACUAACACCAUAGAUUAUUUUUUUGUUUUUUGUUUUUUUGUCUUUUUCAUUUUUAUUGGUACCGGGGAUUGAACUCACGACUGCCUGCUUGCAAGGCAGGUGCUUAUGCCGCUGAGCUAAAUCCCCAGCCCCAACACCAUAGAUUAUUGACCAAGGUAAAUGAUGUCACCCGGCCACCCCUGCUACCAUUACAGCAAUAUUACUUAAGUGAUUAGACUUGCAAUCUUAUUGGUUGAUCCUAACUUUGACCCACAUCCUACCCACCUCAUGAUCUCGCUCUGUAAUACUUCCUUUGAGAGGUGGACUCCUUGGGGCCCCACUCAGGAGCCCUCCUGUCUCUCAGGAGUUAUUCCUAUUUCCCAUUCCCUCGAUCCUGUUCCCCAUUCCUUUUCUCCAAUAAAUGUCCUCACUUUUAAAAAAUCUGGGCCAGAUUUUGGUGCUGGAACUGAGGCUCUGGCUGGACACGCUCCUGUCCUUCACAGCUCUGUGUGCCUGUCCCAUCCCAGCCUUGUGGCCAUGGGCAGCUGUGACAUGCCCUGGCCUCACUUGCCCCUCUCGUCUCAUGGAACCAGCUCAUGUCUCAAGGCCACCUGGUCUAGAGGGCAAGAGUCUUGGUUGCCCCGGGCACAGAAGCAGAAGAAUGGUCAUGGCUCCUUGCAGCUACCCUCACACUAUGCAAAAAAGCAGGCUCAGGGUCCCUAUCCAGCAGCCAAACCCCAAGGCCCCAGCCGUCCAGGGAGAGAGGAGCCAGCAGCUCAGCCACCUCCUCCCUUGCCACCCCCCCUCACCUUCGGGGGGGAGGUCUCAGAAGUGGGCAUGGGAAGUGGGGCCAAAGACCCCCACACACCCCAUGGGCACACACUGAGAGUUCGCCCCACAUUGCACACUGACUGGUGCAUGGUUCAAGGGGAGACCACAGAGAUAUGGGGGUCCGGCUGCACUGGGAAUGGUCAGCGCCCUGAGCAGGUGCAGGGGCUCAGCUCCCAGCCCGCCUCCGCUCUGCCACCAUGAGGCCCUGCCAGACCCCCGCCUCCCUGCCCGGGCUCAGUGCCUCCCUCAGCUGAGCAGAGGGGAGGCCAGAAGCCAGCACCUGCUGACUGGGGGACUCAUCUUGGCUCAGUGGUCCCUGAAAUUUUCCUCUCUGGAGUGGGGGGCGAAGAGGGGCAGCCAGGUAAGGAGCUCCAGAGGCCUCAGCCCCCCAGCACCUUCCCGGCCCCUGAUCCUCUCCUGAUGCUCUGAGGCUCCUCCCACCCUCAUACCCCAGCCAUUUGCAGUGGCCCCUGCCAAGGUGCCUUCCCUUGAGCUGCCCUCCCUUGGCCAGCUCUAGAGACUCUCCUGUCACUCACGGUUUCUCUCUCCCCACACUGGCAAAAAGCUCCCUGAGAAACGUGUCCAAGCUGGCUGUCUGCAGUUCCUCUCCCAUUCCUCUCUCUCCAGAGAGCGCUCUGACCUAGCCACUCCCUCCGCCUCCCCAGCCGGGCCUCUGGCCUUCCUUUUCUACCCCACCCCUGAACAUUCAAUGCCCCAGGCUGGGUCUUCUGCCCCCCACCCUCGGGCAGUCCACCCUGGCUUCGAAACCCCACCUACCUGGCCCUCUAUCCCUGCCUGCAGUGAUUGACAGUUUGCCUCCCAUGGGCCCAGGAGUCACCUUUCCCUCCCUUUCUCGAAUCCUACAUCUAAUCCUUGGACAGCUCCGCUGGCCCUGUCUUUGCUCAAGCUUGGACUAGAUCGUGGUUACCAUCUAACUGGUCCUCUGUUUCCACCAGCCCCUUCUCUCUGCUGCUGCCUGCGCAGCAGUCUAAGGGACCCUGUGAAAUGAAAGUGGAUCACUGCCUCCCAGCUCAGAAUCCUUCAAAGGUUCCUGUGUAACUUAAAGUCACACAAUGUCUUCACAUUGGCCAUUAAGUCAUGUACAAUUUGGCCCCAACUCCUCCCCAAUCUGACUCCUCUGCAGCCAGUCUGACAUCCUAUGCCUCACAUCCCAGGCACACUCUGGCCACAGGACUUUUGCACUGGUGGAGUUUCCUCUGCUGGAAGCCCUCCUGCUCUGGUAACUGCAUCACCCACCUCCCACUUCCUCUACCUCUCUACACAAAGUCAUCUUCCCUGACAACUUCCUAAAGUACCACUGCUCCACUCUCAUCUUCCAUUUCUCUGCUUUCUUUUCCUCCAAAAGUGUGAGGCUUGGCCUAAUGGCACACACCUGUAAUCCCAGUACUCAGGAGGAUGAGGUGGGAGGAUUGCCACAAGAUUGAGGCCAGCCUUGGCUACAUAGGGAGAACCUGUCUUUAAAAAAAAUUGUGUGUGUUUCUAGUAAUGGAUACUGAACCCCAAGGCUUCACAUUGAAUUAUAUGGCCUUUUCUGUUCGUUCGUUUGUUUGUUUUUGAUUUUGAUUUUUAAAACAAGGUUUCACUAAGUUACUAAAUGGCCCAGGAUGGGCUUGGCCUUGUAUCCUCCUGCCUUGGCCUCCCAGAGGGCUGGAGUGUUAGGGGUGCACUGCUACCCCAGGCCAUAAGGCGUUGAUACUGUUUACUUGCUUUUUCUGAUUAUCUGACUUCCCACCAUUGCUAGGCCAUGAGCUCUGAGAAGUAAAGCUUUGCUCUUUCACUUCUACGUCCUUACAGACUGGAACGGACCCUGGCCGAGUAUAUGCACAACCGCAUCAGCAGGUAAGAAUGGCCAUAACUUGAGUACUGUAAAGUUUUGAAACACACACUGGGAGUGUGGCCAGAGAACUGGGGUCUAUGCAGCAGGUGACUGGGCAGGCCCCCUCCAGGCUCGCACAAGGCAAGGCUCCCCUCACCGCACAGGUCACAAAGGACCUGCUCCCCCUCUCUUGAGUCCUCAUAGCAGCCCUGAGCCAAGACCAGCGUGCAGUAGGCACACGAAGGGGGUGAAUCAAAGCCUGAGGGCCAGGCACAGACAGCCCUGCCAGCAGAGGACCAAAGGGACCACAAGAGGGAGCCCAGGCAGACGGAGCUGCAGAGGCCAGCAACUCAUAGGGGACGUCAUUCAUCCCGUCUUGGCUUCCGGGACACUGUUGCUCCUGGAAAGUUUUGACUCGCCUCAGAACACUCCUCCAGGAAGUGGUGGAGCCCUGACUCUGCGUCCCCUGUGCCUUAACUCGGCCUAGGAACAGUUCACACCGGGAGAGAUUUAUUAAGCGGGCUUAGAGGAUCACAGGCGAAAGUCACGACAGCCAUCUGCAGGCGCAGAGGUGGAAGAACCCGGAAUAACCGUCUGGCACUUCGACGGCCGGAUCUAUUCGCUGUGGGAGAUCAAAGUCCUGGAAGCUCGCUAUAGAGUAUCUGGUGUGGGUCUGAGUUAGAACCCGAAGAAACUGCAGAUCAACGUUCAAAGGCUGGAGCUCUUCAAGCAAAAGGGGUCACUUCCUUCUUUUCUCCCUUUUUAGUCUGUCCAAACUACAAACUUAUUGGUUGGUGCCAUCCGCAUCUGGGGUGGGUCUUCUCCCUCCGUUUGUUGGCCUACAUGUCAAUCAUCCACAGACACACCCAGAAUUUACUAAUCUGCUAGGCAGUUUUUACUCGUCACAUUGACGUGACACAGUUAAUGACCACAGUGCAUUUCAUUGUGAUAUAUUUUGACUCAAACAAAGAACUGGCCAGGUGAAGUGGUUGCACAUUUGUAGUCCUAGCUACUUGAGAGUCUGAGGCAGGAGGAUCCAUUGAGCCCAGGAAUUCAAGACCAGCCUGGGCAACACAGCUUGUCUUUAAAAAAAACGAAAAGGAGGCGGAGGAGGAGGGAAUAGAAAAAAGAACCAACCAAUAUGAGGCUUGGUGAUAAAGCACUGGCAUGCACAAAGCCCUAGGUUCAAUCCUCAGUCCUGGGGAAAAAGAAAAAACAACCAUGCCAAAGUAUUGAACUUCAGUUAAUAAGAUACAUGUUGAAGUGUUUGGAUGGCAAAAUACAUUGAUAUCUGGAGGUUGCUUUGAUGUCAUUCAAAAAAGAAAAUAAAUUGAAAGAUAAUGAUAAAGCUAAUACACUACAAAUUGUAAAAUCUGGGCGGUGGCUAUAUGGGUGCUUACUGUGAAACUUUUUCAAUUUUUUCAAAUAUUUCCAACCUUAACAGAAAAAUGUAGGAGAAAGUGUCGCCAGUGGGUGUGGCACGGGAAGUGGGCAUGCACAGCUGUUAGCACGGAGAGCCAAUAGCAUAGCGGGGUCACCUUUCCGGAAGCAGUGUUGGAAGCAGUGUCCUCAACGUGUAUUGAACAGUCUGGCCUUCCAAUCCAGCAGUUCUACUGCGGAAUUUAUCCUGAGGAAAGUGAAGAUGGAUGCACAAGCUACAAGACUGUUCAUUGCAACAUUGAAUAUAAUGACAAAAAAAAUGGGAAUGGCUCAGAUCUCCUGAAGUAGCUCACUGGUUUUAAAAAUGCAUCUCGAUGCACUAGAGUACCAUGCAGCCAUUUAAAAAAACAGCGCAGCCAGGGCUGGAGUGAGACUAAGUGGCAGAGCACUUUCCCAGCACACCCGCGUCCCUGAGUUCCAUCCCUAGCCCCCCCCCCUUUCGCCCCCCAAGAAAAGAUGCAGCACACACCACAAAUAUUUGCCAAAGUGGAAAAAACAGCCUCCAUAUACAUUGGGUUUUUUAAAAAAGCAGGAAAAAAUUUUAAACAUUUUUAAAAAGCAGGUCUCUGGGGUCACCUUGACACCAUCCCACAUGAUGACAUGUGGGGUAAGGAUCAUGUUCACGGCAUCCCUGAUCUUUGCCCGGCGUCCUGGGGGAGCCAGGACUGAAGCCUUCCUCCCUCCCUUCUGCAGGAGCAGCAGGAAGGCCGAGGCGGUGAGCGCCAGCGGCUGCUGAGGCCUGCUGGCAGGCAGCACUUGGGGAAAUGCUCCCUACAUCUCCAGCCUGACCCUUCAGGAAGGGAAUUUUCUUCGGUCAUCAGAUGUACUGCAUUCUUUUUAUGCUGAUCCCUGGUCUUCCAGAACAGGCUGGUUUCACAACCAAAUCUCCCUUCCAGGUAUUACAUUAGACAGAGAUUGCCUAUGUACCCUACGAGGCAUCCUGUAAGCUUCAGGCUAAUCCUGCUUUUGCCUCUCACUUUUUUUUCUUUAGAGUCUCACUAUGUAGUUCAGGUCUUGAACUCACUGUGCAGCCCAGACUGGCCUAAACUCAUGGACCCAUGGCAGUCCUCCUGCUUCAGCCUCUGGAGUGCUAGGAUUAUAAGCCUGCACAUCACACUCUUCUGUGCCUUGUAUUUUAACACAUGCAUGGGUGUCAGCUCAAGAAAAGUGACCUGGAGCGGGGAUUAUCUUUGGGUGGUGAGAACCGGGAUAUUUUUUUCCCCGUGACAAUGUAUUGUCUUAUGUAUUGAGAAAAACUAUCACCACAGAAGGAGCCAGUCCCAACCACAAUGCACCCAGUGGCGAGUUGCCCAGCUGAUGAGGUGCUGGAAACCUUGUUUAUGGGAGACAGGGAGGGGGACAUGCAGACUCCUCUGGCCUGCAUGCAGCAGAGGCUACUUGCUCUGUGAGGCUCAGGGCUGGCCGGUUCCCACAGCCAUGCAGCACCACCAGCCAGCUCAGCUUCCCUAAAACCACCAUACAAUGGAGCAGUGACCUCCUCGUCACAGGAGCUGUGCCAGCAAAAUGGGCAGCCCACUGUCAGGAGGACCAGCGAGGGGAUUUCCAGGCUGGCCAAGAAAAUGCAGCAAAAGUCUCUGAGGUCCAGUGAAGAUGCUCGAGUGGACUUUUGGCCUCCCAGACCAGAUAGCAUCAUUUCUGCUGGAUGCAGUGGCACACGCCUGUGAUUCUAGCACCUGGAGGCUGGAACAGGAAGAUCAUCUCAAAUUCAAGUCCAGCCUGGGCUACAUAGUAAGUCCAAGGCCAGUCUGAACUGCACGAGACUCUGUUGAAAAAGAAAAAAGAAAAUAUCAUUUCUGAGGUCAUUUCUGACACUGGCAUCAGAGGGGAUACUCAGGGAGGACUUUCUGGAGCAGGAGGUCAGUGGCUGCCCUUCCUCCCUGAGCUGGCCUCCUUUCUGGGUCAUCCAGUCCUUUCUGAGUGGAAACAAGCACAGCCUCAGCCCCUGCCUCACCGCACAGUCCCGGAUGACUCCCUGAUCCUCUCAGAUCCUUAGUCUGACUAAACCUGAAACCAUAUCUUUCCCCCAGGGACAGCCAAACUGCCAUCAUCGUGUACCUAUGAGAGGAAAGAUGACGUGAUUUAAGGGAACCCUGAUUGUAUCCUUGCCUUGGACUGAUGUUCGGAAGGGAUUCAACAGAGGUGGUCCAGACCCAGAGGCCGGCCCACCAGGCUGCCUGGAUACAACCAUAUGUUGGCAGACCAUGGUUACCAUGGCGAUGGGACACACACCAGAGCUCACCUUCAGGGCCUUAGCAAAGAGUCUCAAGUGCCAGCUCUCUCCGGGGCUUUUCUGGCCAUGUGGACGGGGGCAGGAGGGUGGGUCCUCUGAUCAGAGAGACAAGAUGAGGCCAGGAGACAAAAGGACACAGGUAGUCCCCCAGGUGCGUUCAUUGGGGGAAGCGCGGCAGCAGUGAAAGCUGGCAGCCCCAGCAGAUAGGCCUGCAUCCCCCUGCUGGUGAUCUUGGGCAAAUGGCUCUACUUCUCCGGGCCCGGGAGAAUAUGCUGUGACAUGAGAUGACUUCAUUUUCUUCUCACACACAGCUACCGGAGGCAGAAAUUCAAACUAACCCCGGAGCCCCGCAGAAGGUCGCCCUCAGCCAUCGCCCUCUCCAGCUCCCCACUCCCCACUCCCUGUCCACACCUGCCAUCGUGCGGCCCUUCCGGGUACUGCAGGCGCCCCGCUCGCUCCCCAGCGGCCCCUGAAGCCGCUGCUCCCUGUCUAGGCGUGGAUCCCUCUCCGGGUCUCAAGCUGACAAGCCCCGUCCCCAGACCUUUGAGGACAUCUGGCCUAAAGAGCCUUCCCGCUGGCCCCAGACCGUUCAUAGGAACCAGGGAGCCUCACUGGCUGGGGCGGCAGAUGGCCCAGAGGCAGGGAUUCUUAGCAAUCACAUCAAGAUCCUGGGAUGCUGGGAGUCUCCGGGUACACACUGUUGCUGCCCCUGUGUGCACCCCAUAAAUACCAGAGCCCCGCCACACAGUGACCUCACUGCCUGUCCAUUCUGCUAAAACCCAAAGACCUUUCCAUAGCCUAAAUCCCUGCAUCACCCAGCCCGACCCACCUCUCAAACCCUGGCACCCACCAGCACCAACCCACGGCCACCUACUCACUGAUCUCCAGAAAAACACUCACCUCGAGCUUCUGGGCCUUGACACCGCGCACUCAUACGGGCUGCCUCACUGCCCCUGGGCCGCUAUCCAAAUACAGUCUCCUAAAGUCCUUUGAGACCCUGGAGCUAAGAGGCUCCUCUCCCUCCACUCCCACAAAGUGUGUUGCCUUCCAAAUGUGUACCCUCAUCAUUAGGGAAAUGGAAUAAACGCUACAAUGAUGUGUGA